AGCUGCAGGAAUGUGCAGAAUAAUGCGCAAUACCCGCGCCGAAAUUCAGGCCCAGCUUAAAGGGGAGCGGUUAUGGCCAGGGGAGCGGCCAGGGGAGCGGUUAUGGCCAGGGGAGCGGCCAUGGCGAGGGAAGCGGUCAUGGUCAGGGAAGUGGAAGUGGUCACGGAAGCGGACAGGGGAGUGGUUAUGGCCAGGGGAGCGGCCAGGGGAGCGGUUAUGGCCAGGGGAGCGGCCAUGGCGAGGGGAGCGGUCAUGGUCAGGGAAGUGGAAGUGGUCACGGAAGCGGCCAGGGGAGCGGGUAUGGCCAGGGAAGCGGGAGCGGCCAGGGGAGCGGGUAUGGCCAGGGGAGCGGGCAUGGCCAG
Molecule: long non-coding RNA, 362 nt
Filed under: Sinocyclocheilus anshuiensis
Lineage: Eukaryota; Metazoa; Chordata; Actinopteri; Cypriniformes; Cyprinidae
Description: lncRNA (ENSSANG00000044372.1)
Source: RNAcentral